AUACCACCCUUUAAUGUUUGAUGUUCUAACGUGGACCCGUAAUCCGGGUUGCGGACAGUGUCUGGUGGGUAGUUUGACUGGGGCGGUCUCCUCCUAAAGAGUAACGGAGGAGCACGAAGGUUGGCUAAUCCUGGUCGGACAUCAGGAGGUUAGUGCAAUGGCAUAAGCCAGCUUGACUGCGAGCGUGACGGCGCGAGCAGGUGCGAAAGCAGGUCAUAGUGAUCCGGUGGUUCUGAAUGGAAGGGCCAUCGCUCAACGGAUAAAAGGUACUCCGGGGAUAACAGGCUGAUACCGCCCAAGAGUUCAUAUCGACGGCGGUGUUUGGCACCUCGAUGUCGGCUCAUCACAUCCUGGGGCUGAAGUAGGUCCCAAGGGUAUGGCUGUUCGCCAUUUAAAGUGGUACGCGAGCUGGGUUUAGAACGUCGUGAGACAGUUCGGUCCCUAUCUGCCGUGGGCGCUGGAGAACUGAGGGGGGCUGCUCCUAGUACGAGAGGACCGGAGUGGACGCAUCACUGGUGUUCGGGUUGUCAUGCCAAUGGCACUGCCCGGUAGCUAAAUGCGGAAGAGAUAAGUGCUGAAAGCAUCUAAGCACGAAACUUGCC
Molecule: ribosomal RNA, 602 nt
Filed under: Escherichia coli
Lineage: Bacteria; Pseudomonadati; Pseudomonadota; Gammaproteobacteria; Enterobacterales; Enterobacteriaceae
Description: partial 23S ribosomal RNA
Rfam family: Bacterial large subunit ribosomal RNA
Source: RNAcentral